This 127-nucleotide ribosomal RNA is filed under the name Paenibacillus timonensis. Its description in RNAcentral is "partial 23S ribosomal RNA". It matches the Rfam family "Bacterial large subunit ribosomal RNA", at positions 1 to 117 of the family's 2925-position model. The record is from RNAcentral. Lineage: Bacteria; Bacillati; Bacillota; Bacilli; Caryophanales; Paenibacillaceae.
GAGCAACUUGGUUAAGCUACUAAGAGCACACGGAGGAUGCCUAGGCGCUAGGAGCCGAAGAAGGACGUGGCGAACAACGAAACUGCCUCGGGGAGCUGUAAGCAAGCUUUGAUCCGGGGGUGUCCGA